This 532-nucleotide ribosomal RNA is filed under the name Staphylococcus aureus. RNAcentral describes it as "bacterial SSU rRNA". It matches the Rfam family "Bacterial small subunit ribosomal RNA", at positions 314 to 838 of the family's 1533-position model. Lineage: Bacteria; Bacillati; Bacillota; Bacilli; Caryophanales; Staphylococcaceae. The record is from RNAcentral.
UGGAACUGAGACACGGUCCAGACUCCUACGGGAGGCAGCAGUAGGGAAUCUUCCGCAAUGGGCGAAAGCCUGACGGAGCAACGCCGCGUGAGUGAUGAAGGUCUUCGGAUCGUAAAACUCUGUUAUUAGGGAAGAACAUAUGUGUAAGUAACUGUGCACAUCUUGACGGUACCUAAUCAGAAAGCCACGGCUAACUACGUGCCAGCAGCCGCGGUAAUACGUAGGUGGCAAGCGUUAUCCGGAAUUAUUGGGCGUAAAGCGCGCGUAGGCGGUUUUUUAAGUCUGAUGUGAAAGCCCACGGCUCAACCGUGGAGGGUCAUUGGAAACUGGAAAACUUGAGUGCAGAAGAGGAAAGUGGAAUUCCAUGUGUAGCGGUGAAAUGCGCAGAGAUAUGGAGGAACACCAGUGGCGAAGGCGACUUUCUGGUCUGUAACUGACGCUGAUGUGCGAAAGCGUGGGGAUCAAACAGGAUUAGAUACCCUGGUAGUCCACGCCGUAAACGAUGAGUGCUAAGUGUUAGGGGGUUUCCGCC